GAUGAACGCUGGCGGCGUGCCUAAUACAUGCAAGUCGAGCGAACAGACGAGGAGCUUGCUCCUCUGACGUUAGCGGCGGACGGGUGAGUAACACGUGGAUAACCUACCUAUAAGACUGGGAUAACUUCGGGAAACCGGAGCUAAUACCGGAUAAUAUAUUGAACCGCAUGGUUCAAUAGUGAAAGACGGUUUUGCUGUCACUUAUAGAUGGAUCCGCGCCGCAUUAGCUAGUUGGUAAGGUAACGGCUUACCAAGGCAACGAUGCGUAGCCGACCUGAGAGGGUGAUCGGCCACACUGGAACUGAGACACGGUCCAGACUCCUACGGGAGGCAGCAGUAGGGAAUCUUCCGCAAUGUGCGAAAGCCUGACGGAGCAACGCCGCGUGAGUGAUGAAGGUCUUCGGAUCGUAAAACUCUGUUAUUAGGGAAGAACAAAUGUGUAAGUAACUAUGCACGUCUUGACGGUACCUAAUCAGAAAGCCACGGCUAACUACGUG
This 497-nucleotide ribosomal RNA is filed under the name uncultured bacterium. RNAcentral's name for it is "partial 16S ribosomal RNA". It matches the Rfam family "Bacterial small subunit ribosomal RNA", at positions 28 to 507 of the family's 1533-position model. The record is from RNAcentral.